Molecule: RNA transcript, 5481 nt
Organism: Zingiber officinale
Lineage: Eukaryota; Viridiplantae; Streptophyta; Magnoliopsida; Zingiberales; Zingiberaceae
Exons: 7
Source: RefSeq, a predicted model, not a curated record
CUGCAAGAGAUGUACGUAUGUCGUGGCUAGUGUUAGCAAAUGCCAAACUCUUGUUCAUAUUUUUUCUCUCUGCUUGUUGAAUUGCUCCUUUAAGCUUGAUAAGUUUAGCUUGUAGCAGUCCUUCCUGUAACUGUGACCUAUGAAGUAGAUGUAGCAGCACAUAACUUCUAAGAACCAUGCCUAGAAUGAUGAGUAAUACUAGAAUCACAACAAUAGUCCUUGUCUUUUUCAACAAUGAUACACCUCCUUCACAGGGGAAAGAUACACCUCCUUCACAGGGGAAAGCUGCUACGUAUACCUAGUAAACAACCAAAUAUUGUUCAAGUCCGAACAAGAUCAAUUCUUUCAUCCUAGUUUUGAAAUGCAGUAUGAAGAAAGAUACUCUUAAGUAUUAAACUAAUCAUCAGUUCCAUUCCAUAUGCAUCUAGGAGAAAACAACCAAACUGAUAUCUCCUACCUUGAAUCUUCAAACACUUAAUAUGUGAUGGCCAAACAGAGAUAUUUCCAAGGUAAGUUAUCAUACUUCUCUACAGCAUUCAUAUCAUCCUCAUCCAUUGCAAGAACGGAUACUCCACUGUCAACAACAACCAAGCCUUUUCCCACUAGGUGGGGUCGGCUGUAUGAAUCCUUUUACGCCAUUGAGCUUUAUCUCCUAUUAUAUCAUCAUCUAUAUUUAAACAAAAUGAGUAUGAGGAGGUCCAUCUGGUGCAAUUACUUCUCCUCCUCGGGUAGCCAAAUGCAUGUGCCCACCAUGAAUGUUGAUGCUUGAGAUUGAAUCCUUAAGAGUUUCUAGAGGUACUCCCACUGACAAAACCCCAUUUGUGGAAUUUCUAAGUGGUGUGUUGAAGAAUAGCAUAUGAAUGCUUUGCAAACCUAUCUCGACAUAUAAUGCAUUGUGGAACAAGGAAUCAUUCAAAUGCCUUGGUGGUGAACAUGUAACCUCAUCAGAGAAUUUUCCAAUACCAUUCAAUGCCUGGGCGCACCAUAAAUAAUCAUAAUCAUUUGAGAACAAUACAUAAGUUUAUUUCCUUGACCAUAAUAUGAGAAAACUUUCCCUUGAGGCUCUACAUAAGAAAUUUCUGCAACCCAUUUCUGUAUCAUAAUUGCCAUGUAAAGUUGUGGGACUAUCUGCAUAUCAAAUUUUGUUAAAUUAUUUAAAAAAUACAUAAAUUAUAUCAAUACGACAUGAUAUGAUACCGAAACCAUAGUGUUUUGGUUCGGGGCCGAAACCUUGGCACGAGUCGAGAUUUUAAACCUUGGGUAUAUCCAAACACAAUAUUGUUGUUCGCUAAAACCCUAUAGUGAUCUGCAUGGGUAAUCUUCCACUGUGCCAAUUAUGUCAACGAGUGUCGUGCUGUGUUGACACUUGAUAUUGUUUGACACACUUCGACACUUGUUUAGAUGAGUUAAGUAAUGUUUGUAUAUUUUUUAAAAGCUUAUUUCUUCGAAAUUAUAAUUUAUUUAAUUAUCUAAUUGCUAUAAUUUUAUUUGUAAAAGUCAACAAGUGAAAGAAGAUUAUGGAGUAAUAUGAAUUUACAUUGAUAGCUUUGAAGCACUCAAGCACAUGUAAUUAAAAAAUAUUUUAAAUCCAACAAUUUAAUAAAGUUGAAAAUUUAAGUAAAAAAGGACUAAAUGAGUAAAACCUAUCUCAAUUGAUCUUGAUAGUCUUUAAGGUGUAUCGAGCAUUGGUAUUGUAUGGUAUACUUCUUUUAGUUUAAAUGAUAUAUAAUUGGUAUAAUUAUUUAUUAGAAGGAAUAAGCAAGCGAAGUAGUAUUAAAGGAGCAAAACCAUCUAAAUUUUCCUUCAAAUGGUCAAAUGCAUUCCAAAGAAAGUCAAGUGUUGGUAUAACUUGGUAGUUAGUACUAAAAUGUACAAUUCUGGCUAGAGAUCAAAAUUCUGGCAUUGAGUUAUAAUUCAGUGAUAUUAGAAUAUAUAAAUGGCAUCCUACGAAUUGACUCUUAGAACAUGAAUAAUUCCUUUGGUAUUCUACAGAGAUUGGGAAGUUCAUAUAUUGAAUUGUAAUUAUAUAUGAUGGGCACAGUUAUCUCUAAUGGAAAGAUUGUCCAAUUCCCAAGAACCUUUUUGAGUUUCGAAGUUGAAUCCAUAGAAGAGCUUAAUAUUAAAUGAAUAUUGAGAGACCAAAGUCCACUCUCAGGAUCUUUGUUUCCAACCUUUGCUAUAGAAGCAGGGCAUUGACUUCAACAUGAUAAAAGCUAUUGAAUCUGGUCUCAUGGAGAUACUGCUAAGAAACAUAGAAAAUGAUCCUUGUAAUCUCUGAGGAAAAGUUGUGAUUAAGUACUUGCAUACUGCUUGGUGACCAAUCCUUUUGCUAUUUCCAAUUUUCAAUUUAGCAUCCUCUGUGUGUCUCAACUGAUUCUUUAAACAACAAAAAGUGUGUAACACAGAAAAUAGUUAUCCAUCCGAUCUUUUUAUGGUGUCUUUGAUCAUGAGUUGAAAAUUCUAGUUGGAGGUUGGAAGCAAAGGAGGGAGCAAGCCAAAUAAAGUUUUUUUCCCCCACAAGCAUAUAAACAAUUGAAUUUCAGAAUCUCUUUACUAGUAAAGUAAAAUUACUACGUACUGAAGGGCUCGUCUUUGGUUAUGAUGUUGAAAUAUAGGGUAAUGACAAUUGGAGAAGUGGUGUUCUUUUGACAGGAAACUUUAAUGCAAGUUUAUGCUUGGCUAGAAAUAGAGUAGGGUAAAAGAUAAAUAGAGAAAGAUAGGUUCCAAAUAUGAUAGAUCACCUGUUUGGGUGCAUAGUGAGCAUCAGAAUGUAGUGAAUCUACUUGGUAUGAGGGAAAAAAGGUUCUUGGGUCUUGGUGUGCCACAUGGGAGGUUGUAAAUGGUAAAAUAGGUUUCUUUUUAAGUUUGUUUUUAACUGCUCAUUCAGUUAUGUCACUUUUUUCCCCCCAUUUUCCAUGGGAUUUUUUUCGUAUGUCAGAUAGAGAGUUUAGUGGGUAUCAGUCACUUGAUGAACUCAUUGACAUGCUAAACUAUGUGCUCUGCUGUCACAUCCUUUUGUACUUAUUCCAGGUUUGUGUUGUCUAUCUCGGGUUCAUUUUGUCCCACUAUGUAGCAAUGUUUCAAAACUUGGUACCUUAUGAACAGGUUCUAUCCUGUGUGAAAUUACAGUCUUUAUGCCUUUUUUUGGUUUUCCAGUCUUUAUAUGCGCUUGACAUACCAGGUCUUAUGCCACCAAAUAUAUUCACUUCUUAUGACAUUGCUACGAACAAACGUUGAGCUUGAAGGUGAAGCUGGGUAGCCUAUGUUUCGCUGAUUGGUUUUAAGAGCAGUUGCAAAUGUUAUUACGAUGUAUUCUUCUUUGCUUACAACAGAAACUGAGCUGCAAAGAAGUCACUGGCGCAUACAGUGCUCAGAAUAAGGAGAUAAAUAUAAGUUUGCCAGCAAUUGGUCUAUUGUGGAGUGCAACAGACUUCAUUGCCAAAGGAUUGGGGGAGACUUCUGAUAUUACUUCAAUUGCGGAGCAGAAUAAUUAUUAUGGAAUUUGCGAGGAUGUUCAAGACAUUCGUACUACUGAAGCUAAUGAACCAGUUCCUAUGAAAAAGUUGAUUGAUUAUAAAAGCUUGCUCUUUUCAGUUUUCACCAUUCUUGGAAUCUUGCAGCAGAUGAGUGGCCUGAGGUAUGGUUCCAUAAAUCUGAAUUUAAGGCAAGGAAGACGAAAAUGUUCAACAAUAUCACAUGAUCAGUGGUACAACAACGAUGUUAGACUAGCUGGUAAUGUGUGACGUGAUGUUGAUCUUUCAAGUAUGUUCCCCAGUUAUACUAGUAGUUCAGCCAGCAAUGUUAAGCAGGAGAUACUGCUUGGACUCGGAGAUCUGUAUACUCAAGCACACAUGAUGUUUAAUGUGGAUAUGUAUUUGCAGCUUCUUGGUAUAUUGCAUUUGGCAAUUAGAAGUUCAAGGAAUUCAAGCAAUGUGGAAAGAGAAGCUGUAAGUUCUCUCAUCACAGAUAUUUUUAGUGGGCUUUACCACGCGUUAAUCUGAUCUCAGCUUUCAGAUAUUAGUUCUUCUAUAAAGUGAACAAAUUCAGUUAAUAAAAGUAGAGAGUAGGCAUUGUUCAAAUCUUCACCUGCUCCAAGGACAGCACAGGAGGUCCAUAAGAUGAUUGAGAAAAACAGAGAUGUCUCGGUUGCAUUUUGCAGUAGAAAAUACGUUUUAGAGGAGAGGAGAACUAGAUGCUUGGAGAAAGUAAAGAUGGGGCAUUCCCUUCUUUGGAUCUAGCUCGAGGAAGUAAACACUGUAGAAUAACCUUCUGAAAGCCAGCCAAGACAAGCCUGCAUGAAGCACGGUUGGAUUUAACCUUGGCUUUAUGCACCUAGGAUGCUAUUUUGGAGUAUAAGUAACCAUUGCUGGAUCUGAAAGUGUGGGGAAGAUGCUCAUGACGAGUGGAGCAGCAAAAUAUGGAACUCGAAAGAAGGAUUAUGUAGGAAUUGGUCUUGUAAAGUCAAGGCUCAUAAUGGUAGUUAUGGAAGGUGAUAUAUACUAGAGGAGAACAGAGGGGCAAAAGUUUUGUUUUCUCUGGAGCAAGCAGUAGUUUCCAUUGGAUGAAGUAGGCUGACAUAGAUCUGGAAGACCACUGAUAAAAUAGUGGCAGUUCAUGCAGACACGAGUCAUGUUGAUGCGUAAGAUACAAGGAUGUGUGAGGCCAAGACAUAGGAAGAUAUCUUGUGGAGAAAGAAGAUCCCAUGGGCAAGGAAGAUCUCGUGGAGUUGCAUCUAGCAGUAGUGAUGGUCGGCGGAGACCAUGAUCUGGUGGCAAGUCCUAAUAGAAGGGCAUUGUGAGGUGGAAGCAGGUUUAAUAUCACAUAAAGAAGAUAAGUUAGAAUAGGCAGCAAAAAGACAGGCACGAAGAGUGGUCUGGCCACACUGCUUUGUUCUUUAGAACUUGGGAAGAAAUUAUGGCUUGGAGGAGGAACCAUUGCAUCAGAAUCAUCUACCUUAUGCUAAGUGGGAAAAGGUUGUAUUCUUGUUAUUUAUUUUUAACUAAAGAGACAACUAUUACAAGGUAUAUAUAGGACACUAUAUAAGCCCUAACCAUCAAACAUCCACUAUGAAACUAAACCCACUACUUGUAACUAAUGAUAUAUAAUACCUUUAGUAGCGAAGCUAUUUGAUAGUAUUUCUUCAGAACUGUUACCAUUUGCAGAUCCAGGAAAAUCUCCCGCCAGUAUUGCGUACUAUUUUGGAGAUUUUACCACUCCUUCAUCCUGCACUUUUACAAUCCACAUGGCCCCUGUUUAUCAAGGAGCUCGUUUAUUAUGUGAUUGGAUGGGAAAAUGAUACAUCAGUGAAUGAGAUGAAAUUGACACUACUUUUGAACCAUGAUCAAAAGGGUGGUGUGGUGGUGUCUCAUAAUGCUUCAAAUUCUGGAAACAAAUUUGGGAAUUUGUCAAAUAAAAAAAAGGAGAUAAUGCAAAAAAUAAGAUAUGAUGUUUCUAAUGGUGGCUCUUCUGACUGUGUCAAAC